Molecule: long non-coding RNA, 259 nt
Filed under: Vitis vinifera (wine grape)
Lineage: Eukaryota; Viridiplantae; Streptophyta; Magnoliopsida; Vitales; Vitaceae
Description: long non-coding RNA (VVIN_LNC003469)
Source: RNAcentral
AUUGCCGUGGUUGGAGGUCUAUAUACUGCAUGCCAAAGAGACCAGCAUUUAAGGGGUCAGCUCCCAUUAACUUGUCUGAUCGUCUCAACCAGGUGCUUCGGUGGGCUCUUGGCUCUGUUGAAAUCUUCUUCAGUCGUCACAGCCCUGUCUGGUAUGGCUACAAGGGAGGAAACCUCAAGUGGCUCGAGCGAUUUGCAUAUGUCAACACAACAGUCUAUCCCUUCACCUCCUUACCUCUCCUUGCCUAUUGUACUCUUCC